AUUGAACGCUGGCGGCAUGCCUUACACAUGCAAGUCGAACGGCAGCACGGGAGCAAUCCUGGUGGCGAGUGGCGAACGGGUGAGUAAUACAUCGGAACGUGCCCAGUAGUGGGGGAUAACCCGGCGAAAGCCGGACUAAUACCGCAUACGACCUCCGGGUGAAAGCGGGGGAUCGCAAGACAUCGCGCUAUCGGCGCGGCCGAGGUCUGAUUGGCUAGUUGGUGGGGUAAAGGCCUACCAAGGCGACGAUCUGUAGCUGGUCUGAGAGGACGACCAGCCACACUGGGACUGAGACACGGCCCAGACUCCUACGGGAGGCAGCAGUGGGGAAUUUUGGACAAUGGGCGCAAGCCUGAUCCAGCCAUGCCGCGUGCGGGAAGAAGGCCUUCGGUUUGUAAACCGCUUUUGUCAGGGAAGAAACGCGCCGGGCUAAUACCACGGAGUAAUGACGGUACCUGAAGAAUAAGCACCGGCUAACUACGUG
This 484-nucleotide ribosomal RNA is filed under the name uncultured bacterium. RNAcentral's name for it is "partial 16S ribosomal RNA". It matches the Rfam family "Bacterial small subunit ribosomal RNA", at positions 29 to 507 of the family's 1533-position model. The record is from RNAcentral.